ACCAUGUUGAAACACCGGUUCCCGUACAAUCACCGAAGUUAAGCAACCUCGAGCUGGUCAGUAUUUAGAUGGGUGACCGUUUGGGAGUACUAGAUGCUGUAA
Molecule: non-coding RNA, 102 nt
Organism: Acanthosepion pharaonis
Lineage: Eukaryota; Metazoa; Mollusca; Cephalopoda; Sepiida; Sepiidae
Source: the annotation of a GenBank genome assembly